RNAcentral lists this ribosomal RNA (1504 nucleotides) under uncultured bacterium. RNAcentral's name for it is "16S ribosomal RNA". It matches the Rfam family "Bacterial small subunit ribosomal RNA". The record is from RNAcentral.
GAUGAACGCUGGCGGCGUGCCUAAUACAUGCAAGUCGAGCGAACGGACGAGAAGCUUGCUUCUCUGAUGUUAGCGGCGGACGGGUGAGUAACACGUGGAUAACCUACCUAUAAGACUGGGAUAACUUCGGGAAACCGGAGCUAAUACCGGAUAAUAUUUUGAACCGCAUGGUUCAAAAGUGAAAGACGGUCUUGCUGUCACUUAUAGAUGGAUCCGCGCUGCAUUAGCUAGUUGGUAAGGUAACGGCUUACCAAGGCAACGAUGCAUAGCCGACCUGAGAGGGUGAUCGGCCACACUGGAACUGAGACACGGUCCAGACUCCUACGGGAGGCAGCAGUAGGGAAUCUUCCGCAAUGGGCGAAAGCCUGACGGAGCAACGCCGCGUGAGUGAUGAAGGUCUUCGGAUCGUAAAACUCUGUUAUUAGGGAAGAACAUAUGUGUAAGUAACUGUGCACAUCUUGACGGUACCUAAUCAGAAAGCCACGGCUAACUACGUGCCAGCAGCCGCGGUAAUACGUAGGUGGCAAGCGUUAUCCGGAAUUAUUGGGCGUAAAGCGCGCGUAGGCGGUUUUUUAAGUCUGAUGUGAAAGCCCACGGCUCAACCGUGGAGGGUCAUUGGAAACUGGAAAACUUGAGUGCAGAAGAGGAAAGUGGAAUUCCAUGUGUAGCGGUGAAAUGCGCAGAGAUAUGGAGGAACACCAGUGGCGAAGGCGACUUUCUGGUCUGUAACUGACGCUGAUGUGCGAAAGCGUGGGGAUCAAACAGGAUUAGAUACCCUGGUAGUCCACGCCGUAAACGAUGAGUGCUAAGUGUUAGGGGGUUUCCGCCCCUUAGUGCUGCAGCUAACGCAUUAAGCACUCCGCCUGGGGAGUACGACCGCAAGGUUGAAACUCAAAGGAAUUGACGGGGACCCGCACAAGCGGUGGAGCAUGUGGUUUAAUUCGAAGCAACGCGAAGAACCUUACCAAAUCUUGACAUCCUUUGACAACUCUAGAGAUGGAGCUUUCCCCUUCGGGGGACAAAGUGACAGGUGGUGCAUGGUUAUCGUCAGCUCGUGUCGUGAGAUGUUGGGUUAAGUCCCGCAACGAGCGCAACCCUUAAGCUUAGUUGCCAUCAUUAAGUUGGGCACUCUAAGUUGACUGCCGGUGACAAACCGGAGGAAGGUGGGGAUGACGUCAAAUCAUCAUGCCCCUUAUGAUUUGGGCUACACACGUGCUACAAUGGACAACACAAAGGGCAGCGAAACCGCGAGGUCAAGCAAAUCCCAUAAAGUUGUUCUCAGUUCGGAUUGUAGUCUGCAACUCGACUACAUGAAGCUGGAAUCGCUAGUAAUCGUAGAUCAGCAUGCUACGGUGAAUACGUUCCCGGGUCUUGUACACACCGCCCGUCACACCACGAGAGUUUGUAACACCCGAAGCCGGUGGAGUAACCUUUUAGGAGCUAGCCGUCGAAGGUGGGACAAAUGAUUGGGGUGAAGUCGUAACAAGGUAGCCGUAUCGGAAGG